This 253-nucleotide unclassified non-coding RNA is filed under the name uncultured Gammaproteobacteria bacterium. RNAcentral describes it as "contains 16S-23S intergenic spacer region". It matches the Rfam family "Bacterial small subunit ribosomal RNA", at positions 524 to 776 of the family's 1533-position model. The record is from RNAcentral. Lineage: Bacteria; Pseudomonadati; Pseudomonadota; Gammaproteobacteria.
UACAGAGGGUGCAAGCGUUAAUCGGAAUUACUGGGCGUAAAGCGUGCGCAGGCGGUUGUGUAAGACAGGUGUGAAAUCCCCGGGCUUAACCUGGGAAUUGCAUUUGUGACUGCACGACUAGAGUGUGUCAGAGGGGGGUGGAAUUCCACGUGUAGCAGUGAAAUGCGUAGAUAUGUGGAGGAACACCAAUGGCGAAGACAGCCCCCUGGGAUAACACUGACGCUCAUGCACGAAAGCGUGGGGAGCAAACAGG